GAGAGGGUGGGCAAGGUCUGUGAAGGGAACAUUUUCUUAGAUUUCACUGAGGAAAUUGAGGAGGGAAGAGGGGGAGAGUCUUUCUAAUGCCACCCCUUGGUCUUUGGGGUAAGGGAACUUCUUAUUCUUUCCCUCUUCUCUCAUUACAAGGACAAAAAGGAAAAAAAGAAAAAAAAAAAGGAAAAAAAAAAAAAGAAAAGAAACCAAACAAAUUAAGAGAGCGAUCUGCAAUCCAGAACACACGGCAGCCUGUCAGAUGCCUCUGACAGCGGCCACCAAGAAGGCGUUCCUUUCAUUUGCCCCCCGUAUCGCCCUGUCACCUUAUCUUCAUGAAUGGAAGACGCCGGAACGUCACUUCAAGCCUUGCCAGCAGGGUUUCAUGUUUUGAUGGGAACACCCCCAAUUCCUUUUUGCAUAUAAACUCUCUGUACCAGCAUCUCUCUGUGGAGUUUGAGCCUCAAGGCACUACGCUGUCUUAGUAGUGGUGGGGUGAACCAUCAAGUUGGCCGCUCAGGUUGGACCAUCACUUGACAUUAAGAGACUUCUCCAAUGCUACAUUGGUUUAGAAAUCUUGGACCUGGGAAAGCUCGUGAGAAUUUCUGGUUAUUUCCUAAGGGCUUGGGGGGGAACUUGACAGCUGGCAAGGGCAGCUAAUCUCAUUGGUGGUUAUUUCAGUACUUUACGUCCCUCCCCACCUGGAACAAGGAAACCUGGAGGGUGGCUCUGCAGGGAAAUUAAGCCGAAAACAAACCAAAAAGAAGUUAAUGGAACUUUUUUCAAAUCUCUUCUUAAAGGUUCUGAUUUUUGUGUUCCAGGGUGAAAGUUGGUUCGUAUUUUCUCCAAGCUGGUCUGUCCCUUGUUCCACUGAUUGGCAAAUGAUAGUUUGCCAAAAUCAUUAUCUAGUGUUGAUACUGUGUAGCACUGUUAACACUGGGAGUGCUCUGCAAAUAUUAACUGUGCCACAAACCACUCAAAUGAAUGCUCUAGGGCAACCAGAAAAGAAGAACUGGAAAUUCUGGACUGAACCACUGGUCUAACUACAGGAGUCUGGUGUUUUGCCUUCUCCCACAAUAAAUUAGGCCACGUGUCCAUCAGGUUAUUCCUUUCUCUAUAAGUGAUCUUUUCUGGUUGCUUUGUUUAUUUUAGUUCUGACAGGUCAACAAAUUUUGGAACAGAGGUG
Long non-coding RNA from Gallus gallus (chicken), 1180 nucleotides. The record is from Ensembl. NCBI's taxonomy places the organism in Eukaryota, Metazoa, Chordata, Aves, Galliformes, Phasianidae.